This is a long non-coding RNA of Mus musculus (house mouse), 18548 nucleotides long. RefSeq annotates it as predicted gene, 46829. The record is from RefSeq and is a predicted model, not a curated record. NCBI's taxonomy places the organism in Eukaryota, Metazoa, Chordata, Mammalia, Rodentia, Muridae. The transcript is spliced from 2 exons.
UGAGUCCUCAAACGUACGGUGAGAGGAGCCCUCAUAGGGCUUCUUUAGACAGACUUGAGAGGACUCAGCCCCCCCACCCCCCAAGAUCAAAGGAAGGCAGCCUCUCUUCUCCCUUUGUUUUGUCUGUAGGCUUCUUAUAAGCCGCAGCUGCUGCUCCUGCCUGCUGAUGCAGCCCAGUGGGCUAGUUUGGACUCCUUAAUUAAACUCCGGAGUUGAAUUCUCCCUCAUGUCCUACGGUCUGAAAACUCUUCAGGCUUCACAGAGGAUCCACCUCAUUUCCCUUCUCUGAGAAAUCACCAUCCUACACUGAUUUUCUGUUUAAUAUGUAGUGUCUGAAAAUUGUCUACUAUGUUUUAAACACUGUUUUAAAGUAAGAGAACCUGUUUUUCUGUCUUGGUGAGAGGUGAGAGCUGGGUACAUCUUGGUGUAUUCCCAGGUUCUCUUAGGAUAAAUUAGUAAAGUAGGGUAGUCAUUGUUAUAAUUACAACUAAAGCCAAAGUUAUACAUUCAAGAGUGAGCCCUGCUUUGGUCUUUUAAGCCGUGUGCUGAGUCUCUUUGUAAAUUUGAAGCUCAAAGGCAGAGGUAAGACUUACUCAUAGCCCAACUUCACUUCUUGUACGAAUGGAACAUGAGUUAGUUCAUGUAAGUGCUAUCAGUUUUAUUCUGAUCUCAGGAACCAGCUAAAUGGAUUCCUUAGACACAGAUGAAUCCAAGAUGGGGAUUUUCAGACUAGCCUGUGAAGCACUUGGGUCGGGAGGGUUUCUGCUUUUUCUGUGAGAGUGGCUUAUUGCAGGGUAUGGGUAGGUGACUAGUUUUCUUCAGAGAUGACGUUUCUGCCUUCCUUUAGUAAUGGUAAUUCCAUACUCAGUAGUAGAGUAGGAAAUCAUAGAAGAUGGUGGUGCCAGCUACAGCCAAUGUGCGUUAAUGUGCGUACUGUAUAAUGACCAUUGCAGCUGAUAUGCUGGACAUACAGAAAACACACAUGGGUUAUCUUAAGGAAAACAUUAUUAUAGUUCUCAGAUGCUCCACUUGUGGCAUAAUUCUAGACAAAUAUAGAGUGUAUCAAAAGUGAUUAUGAUAGUGUCGGGGAUGGUGCUUUUUAAACUGGGAUUGUUGGGUCUCUCUGUUGGAAGGUGGAGUUUGAAGUUGUAUAUUGGUUUGGCAGUUUUAACAUUCCAUUUAUAGGCUGGAGAGAUGGCUCAGCAGUUAAGAGCACUGACUGCUUGCUCUUCCAGAGGUCCUGAGUUCAAAUCCCAGCAACCACAUGGUGGCUCACAACAAUCUCUAACGGGAUCCGAUGCCCUCUUCUGGUGUGUCUGAAGACAGCGACAGUGUACUCACAUACAUGAAUUAAAUAAAUAAAUAAAUCUUAAAAAAAAAAAAAGAUUGCAUUUAUAGGGGAAGGUAAGUCUACUUCCCUGUCUAUCCCAGUACAGUUUAGAAUGGGUCCGUUAGUAUUGUCCUAUUUUUCCCUAAGUUAGCAACAUAGCUAAAAAUAUGGUAAGCACCAAGAGGACUUUAGAGACCCUGGAGGUGUCUGCUGGGAAAGGGGACUCUUGUGUUGGCAAACAUGUUAGGGCUUGUUCCAACCCUGCGGCUGGGACCUGCUUGUGCUGCUUCAAACCAACUUGGCACCGUAAGCUCUGAGCGUACAUUGUUUGAGUUGGGAUAAUGAAUGACUUAGGCGUGUUAUACUCUGGUGUGUAUUUUCAGUGUGAAAUGGGUCAGUCAGUCUAGUAUUUUGUGCUAAACGGAGGAAUAGGUUUUGGCUUUGUUAUCAGGAGCUCUGGGAUAAACGCUCCUUUGCAUCGGGUUUUCCAAAGAGUGCAUGAUGUGCUUAUCCCUUGUACUUUCUUAAUGACCUUAACUUUUUUUUUUUUUAAGAACUAGCAAUAUAGUGUACACAUAUCAAAAGUCUUGCUGACUUAUGAGUUUUAUUCAGUAUCUGAAAAAGCCUAAAUUCUCUACUCAUCCUAAGGCUCUCUGUUGUUCCUUUGGGUUCUAAGGUACAAUGCAACACUUAGUUCUUAAAUAUUCUUAAAUAUUCAGUUCUUAAAUAUUCAGUGAUGAGAAAUAUUGGCAUGAGAUUUGGAGCUUGGAGUAAAAUUGAAUUAUUAGCUUGAACUAUAAAUCCUAGAGCCUGCCGUGACAGCGACAGCGCACCCAGGGCCCAUGCUCCAGGAAGCUGAGAUGGGAGGACAGUGAGUUCGGACCUGCAGGCCCCGCCCCCACAAGGGAAAGACCAUGGGCAAAGUCUUUCCUCAGCCCUGCUGUCACUUGCUGCUUUACCUGCGAGGACAGUGGUUCUGCAGUCAGCUUUGACACGGAGACUCUUGAUCAGAGGAUCCACACUUGUGGAUGCCCUGCAUUCGGAUGCUAAGAAGCUGCCUCCAAUUUCCAGCAUUUUCAACUGCAGCGCAGUUUUAAUGCUUUUUAAUGGAACAUGCUCAGGUCUUUCAUAAAAUGUGGGAUGUUCUUGGUGUAUUGUAUAUCCUUGGCAGAACACCAAGUUAGGCUAAUCGUUUCUUCCAUAGAAGAGCUAAUUAGGAAGACUGGCUUGACAUGAUCUUAGGUGUGUUUUAAUAGCUUCUUCAUUUUAUUAAAGUGGCUCGAAUAAAAACCACUCACCAUUGCACUCAAGGACAUAAAUUCUUAUGCUCAUGUUUUGAAGAUUGAAACAAAUAGAAGCAAACAGCCCUGUGUGCUGAUAGUUCAGCUCCUGGAAUAGGUUUCCUAGUGUGGGGAAUGAGAGGAGUGUGUGACCUUUGCUACUGACGGACGCUGGCAGUUGGUUGUGGAGUGUCGGUCAGAUUUAGUAAUCAGCCUGUCUGUGGUGACUGAUAGGUUGGAUGGCACUAAAUGCCCGUUUUCUUUGUCUACGGCUGGAACUGUGUGAUUAAUUAAUCCCGAGACUAUUUAUUGUCUGUUCUUCCUCAUGACUGUCCUAACUCCCCUUUAGUCCUCUUUUCUUUGUCAUGACUCUUCAUUCUUUGACCACUACCUCAUUUUCUAAAAAGUGGUUUUCAGUUUUUUUCCCUACUGUGACCUUUGAAGAUUUAUCUUUAUACAGUAAUAAGUUGGCCACUGUCGUCAUAUAUUAUAUUUUUCUUUUAAUAUACAUAAGCAUUACUUUUUGAAGUUGCUAUAAAGAUCAGUGAAUGUGAAGAUGUUUGAAAAUAUGAAAUAAUAUACUUGUGUUAUUAUUAAUAGUUAUAUUAGUGAGCUGACCCAAUGUAUAUGGGCAUUGCUAUGAGUCUAAGGACCUCAGCUGUCCUCUAAUCUCUAAAUACUUGAAGGGGAACAUGCUCUCUUUCUUCUUCAGUAGAUAAAUAAAUAUAAAGAUGUAGUCAUAAUAACAUCCCUACUUUCUCCUUAUUGUUGUCUCCAUGGUUCAGAGUAAUUUAAAGUUUACCUUUCUUACUAGUGUAGGCUGUCUGGUGCCCCGAUCACAGAGCUCUAAGCUAGAAUCUUAGCUGUUCUUCUCUAAGGCAGAAGCACUGAUCCGGGCGAGUCCUAUCCUCUCCUGUUCCUAAUGAUACAUAGGAGUCCACUUCACACAUGUUGUAGGACACCUUAAAGGAUAGUACCGAACUCCCAUCACUGCUUCCUCCUCAUCCACGCCAGCCUGGCAGUUCCCGGAUGGAGCUUUGUAGGUUACAGAUUGAGCUGAGAUGAGGGAAGUGUUGGGUGUGUAUGUGUGUACAGUGUUUGGUUCCUAAGCAUUUAUGACAGCUGCAUUAGUGGAAGAAGGGAGAAGCCCAACUGAUUCCCUAAUGAUAGCUGUGUUAGUGGAAGGAGGGAGAAGCCUAGCCAAACCCCGCUUUAGAAGGGCUCCCUGAGUGAGUCCUAUUAGCGGGCUCUCAGUUUCCUGGUACUCACUGUCAGUCUCACAGAGAGACAAAUGUGCAGGUAUGCUCUGUGCCUUAAGUCUAAAGUUUAGGAAGUUCAAAUACAGAAUAUCAUAGGUUGUACCAUUAUAUUUAUUGCCAAAAUUAUGAGCAUAAUUAUAGAAAAGAACAAAAUUCUUUACUCUUACAGUUUUAAAAAUUCACAACUCAGGCGAGGGGCCUGUAAGUCACUACCUUUAGCUGAAGAACUGUUGAUAGUUGAUGGCUUUUGGGGAAGGCAGCAGUUUCUUUAAGGGUGUGGCCCUGGUUGUCCCACCAUGCACUUGUGAAUGGUCUUCCAUCUAGGAGUAUAUGGGCAGUACAGCUCGGAGUCCAUAGGGUGUGUGUGCGCGUGUGCGUGUGCAUGUGUGUGACAAAAUUGGGAUGAGGUGGGAGGUGAAUGCAAUCAAAAUAUAGUCAUGUGUCCAACACUCAACUCAAGGAAGGUCAUAAGAACUGUAAUAAACUAUCACACCAGGUCAACAGUUAUUCGCCAGUCUUAAGUCAGAAAAUUUGGGAGAUUGGCUGGCUGUAAUUGGGCAUGCUUUAGCUUCAGCUGUUGGGCGGGUGGGGUAGGAAGAUAGGUUCUAAGAGUUUGUGACUAGCUGGGGAGCAGAGACAGUAUGACCUAUUGCUCCAUGAAAAAAGGGAAAGCAAGAAAGAACACUUGGGAAGGUUAGAACGCAAAACUGUGAGAAGUGAGCUGUGUGACCCCCCUCUUGAAUUUUGCUGCUACUCUUUAAGUCAAUAUAGCAUGAUUCUGAGGUACAGGUCACCCCCUUAAUGAAGAUUUAAUAGAUGAUUGCAGGACAUAGUUUUGUGUGUAGAAUGUCAUUUGGUUUGCAUGUGAUGUUUUAUGGUUAAUACUUUGUAUACUUUCCCUAGUUAAUGGUAAAGCUCUGUGAAAGAGAUCCUUGUUUUUCCAUAUACUUGAAUUUUAGCCGUAUUUUAAGACUUUUUGUUGGUACUGGGGUAAAGCGACUUAAGCCCAGUGGUGGUGACGGUGCUUUCUUAGUGACUUUAGACUGUAGAACUGAGGAUGACAGGAUUUGAAAACAAAUGAAUCUUUUACAUUUCACCUAUCCUUCCUCUUCUUCUACCCCCUCCUUUUUUGUGUGUCUGUGUCUGUGUCUGUGUGUCUCUGUGUGCGUGAACAUGUGUCACGUUCAUGCCUGGUGCCCAAAGAGGUCAGAAGAGGGCGUUAAUGCAGAGGAACCAGAGUUGUGGUUGUUGCAAGAGCAGCCAGGGCUUUUAACCAUUGAGCCAUCUCUCCAGGCCCUCCUCCCUGUCCCCAUGUGAAAUCUAGACCUGUGUGGUGAAACUGUGUCUUAAUAUUUAUUUCUGUUCUGAAAACGUAAGCAUCAUUAGUCUGGCUUUGGGCAAUUAUCUUUUCUCCAGAACAAAGAGGCCUUAUAAUUUUCUUGAAUGUAUGCAUGUUAUGGGGGAGGGGCAGGCAUACUUCCUUUGCGGUUUCUGUGUAAACAGUGGAGCAGGAGGCCGUUCUCCCCUGGUCCCUAUGUUGGAUCACCUUCCUGCCUAACCACACAUGUAUGAUUUUAUGUUCUUAAAUGAAUUUUAAAAAAUCGCUCAAAGGCCAAAAAUUGAGUUGUUUGUUCCAUGUUCUAUUCAGCUAGGUGGUUUUGGUAGUAUUGGACUUGGCAGAUGUGCGAGAGGCAGAGCUGAGAAAUCUUCAGACUUAGUGCGUGAGAAGAUCAGAGAGUCACAGCAUGCUCAAUAAUGCUUUCUACAAAGUCACCAGGCGGUUGGUGGAGCAAAUACUACUUUGUUUCCAUGGAGAAUAUUCUGUGAAGGGAGAGGUAGUUAGGAAGCACUAAGGAAGGACAGGUGCAGUCUUGCAAUGCAGUUGUGUGUGAUGUUAGGCACACAGCACACUUGGAGAGCUCCUUUUACUUAUUAGUGGGUCUCAACCUUCCUGAUGCUGCGACCCAUUAAUAUAGCUCUUUAUGUUGUGCUGACCCUCUCCCAACCAUAAAAUUAUCUCAUUGCUACUUCAUAACUGUAAUUUUGCUACUGUUAUGAAUCAUAAUUAAAUAUCUGAUAUGCGAUUCUGUGAAAGGAUUAUUCGAUCCAAAGGGUUUGCAGUCUGACAGGUUGAGAGCCACUGAAUUAAAUGGUGUUGAGUAUAGUUUGGAAAGAGCAGCUAUGUGAUCAUCAGGAGCGAGUGUGGGCACUGUAGCACUAAUGACGAGUGAUGUCACUGCUCUUGCUAGAAUGCAGAAGACUGAAUUAGCCAUUGCCAGUGUAGCUUCCAUCCAUACAGAAUAAUGUCUGUAAUAGCUACUGAGUACCCUUUGACAGUUUAAAAGACAAUGUGAUUACUUAGAAAAAUACGGUGUAUAAAUGACCUCUUAGAGCACAUUUAGCUUCCAAUUAAUAGUAAGACAGUAAGUAGUUCACUGAAAAGUUGCUUCUUGAUAUUUUUUAAUUUUAGGAAAAAUCUCUCUACAUAGUUCAUAGUUUAUAUAGCUAUGAUUGUUAAGAAAAAUAUGGUUUAAGUUGGCUAUUCUAAGGCAUAGUUUUCAAAUAUUUAAAAUAUGUACUGCUAGAUUAAUACUAAAGGCUAAAGAGGGGAAUUGCUGAAGCAUAAAAGAUAUUUUAGGAAGGCUGUUGGCUUUUAACUGUUUCUCAAGUCAUCCAUAGCAUACUGAGCACAAUUUUCAUAUAUGUAUUUAUUUGAGAAAGGUUCUCACUAGUCCUGACUGGCCUGGAGCUUCCUGAAGCGGUGGCCACUGCAUCUAGCAUCGGUUUUCAGCAGCUAAUAAGGUGUGCACACUCACUGCGCUAGCAGCCAAACCUUGCCUUGUGUGUGUCCUAUGCAUAGCUACUGCCAAUGGCAGUGGAAAGGGAAGAGUUAUUUUAGCUCAUGGUCUCAGAUUUCUCUCCUCAGUGCUUGGCUUUUUAUUCUGUGGAGAGGAGAGCGUGUGGAUUACGAGGCUCUUCACCACAGAGUGGGCAGGAAGCAGAGGAAAAGGAAGGAAUGGGACCAGGCACAGCUUUCAGAGGACCCAUCUUAGUGACCCGCUUCUCUCUGCUGGGCUCUCCUAAGAUUUAGUGGGAAGAGAGUGCUGCUAGACGGUGGGUCAGCUCGUGAGGAGGUGGGGACAGGUCCCACGUUAUUCUUUCUGAAUAAAGUGACGCCAAAAAGUCACAGAUCCUUGAUUUUAGGGUAGGGUGAUGAUGAUACAUACUCAUCUGUGGUUUGUGAAAUUAUGAUUUCUGACUUAAUACAUCAUGUCACCUGCCUGUCCUCUUCCCAUAUUAGUGUUAGUGAUAGGAUGUCAGCAGGAGAGAAGCUAAAGCACUUGCCCUGUCAGACGGGCGGCGCUCUUUCCAAGGCCAGCUCCUCAAGCAAGGAGACAGAAGAGUGUGCGGCCUAGAGACUCCAUAAAGACUUGUGAACACAGUUCUGAGGGGAGGGAGGGACAUGUGAUGUGCCCCUCAAACAUCAGAACAGAGAGGUAGCCAUUAUUACUGUGUGGCCUUUAUCACAUUCCCGCGUGUCAGUCCUCUCUGUUGUCCCUCCCCCUUCCCUGUGUCCCCAAGGGAUGUUGGUCAUCUUCAGCAAGGCGCUUUGCUAACAGACAGGUUAACAGCGGCCGUUGGAUGCGGAGGGAAUGACUGUUGUGACAUGUGAGUCAGAUGUGACUGACUACACAUUUUGUCAGUGACAAAAAAAAAAAAAAUACACUUGAUAGGGUUGAUUUUGAGGCCAAGCUCCAGAGGCCAUGUCGUUUUCAUCGCGUUAAACUAAUAUAAUUGUAUUUGCUGAUACCGUUGUUUUGUUUUUCUUGAUCAUGCCAUAUUUCUUUGGCUACAGUGCUAAGUUGCAUUAUUUUGAACAUAAUUGGUUUUGGGCUUUAACAGGAAAAUUAGCUACCGUGUGUAUUACUUGCUGGUUUCUUUAAUAUCUAUAUUGGUUAAUACAGAUAAUAUAGUUCAUAUGUGAGUUCUUUUACUAUGUUUAAUACAUCUUUGCAUUAUAAAUCAUUUCAUUAGUUUGUAUCAUCUUCUGAGGGAUCAGGAUGGUCUCUGUUUACAGGGGCAUAAAUGGGAUUAACUUCAUUAAUUUAGUUGCACAAGGUUACAUGGCGCAGAACUAAUUCACACUGCAGUUUGUGUGUUUGCAUCCAACACAGCCUGCACCCACACACAUACACAUGCAUAGGUGUGCAUGCGCACAGACAGCCAUCGUCUUGUUGUCCCUUGGGCACCAUCUGCCUUCACUUGCUUGUUGGUUAAGGUUAGGUCUUUGAUAGCUUGGAACUUGCCAGUUAGGCUAGACUGGCUGGCCAGGGGCCUUCCCAUCUCACUUCCCCAGCCCCAGGUCCCAUAGCAACCUGGACCUCCCCUCCAGCCCACACCCACAUUUUAUUAAUUUUGUAUUUACCCAUUCUUUCAUGCUAGUUAGAUGGAUUUGUGUCUGGGGCAGCCAUCUGUUCCAUGGAAACGGCAUGCUGGAGUUAAGUCAGGCUAGAUAUUGCUUGCAGACUAAAACUGCAUUGUUUUAGUAGAUGUGCCAAAGUGCAUGCUUAAACUUUGAUCUGUUACAGUGCUAAACCUGCCCUCUCAGCCUUCUCAUCCUUUCUUCUGUCUUCCUCCUCCCUCUGACCUCCUUUCUUUCUUCGCUUGUUGAAGAAAACAAGCUCCUGCCUCAGCUUCCUGCGUGGCUUGUAUGACAAGGCUGUAACACCAGGCUGUGCUUUACCUGUUCUAGUCCUACCCUUACAUCAGUAACGUCAGAGAAAACCUAAAACCCACACGCGUUUGUGCUCUCGGAGCUUAGCCUCAAAAUAAACCCUAUCAAAUGUAUUCUACAUUUGUCACUGACAAAAUGGGUAGUGAGUCACAUUUAUCCUUGCAUGCCAGUAGGUACAGCUAGAUGCACAACACAUGCAGUGGGUAUAGGUAGAUGCACAACACAUGCAGUGGAUACAGGUAGAUGCACAACACAUGCAGUGGAUACAGGUAGAUACACAACACAUGCAGUGGGUACAGGUAGAUUCACAACACAUGCAGUGGUACAGGUAGAUGCACAACACAUGCAGUGGGUACACGUAGAUGUACAACACAUGCAGUAGGUACAGCUAGAUGCACAACACAUGCAGUGGGUAUAGGUAGAUGCACAACACAUGCAGUGGAUACAGGUAGAUGCACAACACAUGCAGUGGGUACAGGUAGAUUCACAACACAUGCAGUGGUACAGGUAGAUGCACAACACACGCAAUGGGUACAGGUAGAUGUACAACACAUGCAGUAGGUACAGCUAGAUGCACAACACAUGCAGUGGGUAUAGGUAGAUGCACAACACAUGCAGUGGAUACAGGUAGAUGCACAACACAUGCAGUGGAUACAGGUAGAUACACAACACAUGCAGUGGGUACAGGUAGAUGUACAACACAUGCAGUGGGUACAGGUAGAUUCACAACACAUGCAGUGGUACAGGUAGAUGCACAACACAUGCAGUGGGUACACGUAGAUGUACAACACAUGCAGUAGGUACAGCUAGAUGCACAACACAUGCAGUGGGUAUAGGUAGAUGCACAACACAUGCAGUGGAUACAGGUAGAUGCACAACACAUGCAGUGGGUACAGGUAGAUUCACAACACAUGCAGUGGUACAGGUAGAUGCACAACACAUGCAAUGGGUACAGGUAGAUGUACAACACAUGCAGUAGGUACAGCUAGAUGCACAACACAUGCAGUGGGUAUAGGUAGAUGCACAACACAUGCAGUGGAUACAGGUAGAUGCACAACACAUGCAGUGGAUACAGGUAGAUACACAACACAUGCAGUGGGUACAGGUAGAUGUACAACACAUGCAGUGGGUACAGGUAGAUUCACAACACAUGCAGUGGUACAGGUAGAUGCACAACACAUGCAGUGGGUACAGGUAGAUGCACAACACAUGCAGUGGGUACAGCUAGAUGCACAACACAUGCAGUGGGUACAGCUAGAUGCACAACACAUGCAGUGGGUACAGCUAGAUGCACAACACAUGCAGUGGGUACAGGUAGAUGCACAACACAUGCAGUGGAUACAGCUAGAUGCACAACACAUGCAGUGGGUACAGCUAGAUGCACAACACAUGCAGUGGGUACAGGUAGAUGCACAACACAUGCAGUGGGUACAGGUAGAUGCACAACACAUGCAGUGGGUACAGUUAGAUGCACAACAGUCAUUGCCUGGCAUCCCUGUUAACCUGUUUAGUUUGCAGACCUUGCACUCAUCUGCUAAUGGGCUAUUGGCACUGUGCAGUCCUCUGCAGAAGGAUAAGAAUUCAUGGUGUUUCUUCUACGGGGCUGGAGAGGGGAAGUUGUUACAUAUGGGGUGACAGCCGACACAGCUCACUGGGAGAGGAGCGUGUGUAAGCUGUCCAGUUUCUGCUCUGUGGUUGGAGAUGGCUGUGUAGAGGUACCUGCGUCCUCUGGGUAGGGUUCUGAGUAGAGAGGUUGGGAAUGUGAGCUUAUUUUCUUACAGAAGUCACCUUGUGAAGCUUUGAAAGAAAGCUUGCAGUGGCUCUUCUGUGAGGACUAAGAACUUUGUGGGCUCCAUUAAAGCAGUUUUAUCUUCUUUUUUUUUUUUUUUUUUCAAAUGAUGGGGUCCUUUCCUAGUACUUAAAAUGCCAAUCACUUUCAAUUAAAUUAAGUUGCUGUGAAUAAUUCUUCAUGCCUCCCUUUAUUUUCUUCCCAAUUAAUUAUUUAUCCCUCUCUCUUUGGCAGCAUUAUUACUUUGCUUUCUUUUGGAAGGCAGAACUCCCUGUACUGCUUUUGUGAUAGCCCUGUUAUAAAAACAGUGGGAUAAAUGUUCACAUGCUAUAACAUUUCUUUUGGGGGGCUUCGGUGAGUAGGAUUAGUGAAAAACAUAAAUAAGCCAGUGAAUGUUGGCAGGCGUUCAGAUACUAACUCCUUUGUGCACACAGUAGUAACUUCUUACAAGUAAAAUUUUCACACGGUCUCUUUGAAAAUUAACGGAUUUGAGAUAAAGUGUGAAUAAUUGAUUAGCCUUCACCCUGCAGAGGUGUUGGAUGCAUUACUGAGUUGUUAGGAAGCCCAGGAAAAUGUCAUACUACAAAGGCAGAUAGAUCACUGUCUGAUAGCCAGUUUUGAAACUCAUUGGUAAGAGAGGGCUCUUUAAAGGAGGUGGGAUCCUGGUUUCCAUUUCAGCUUUUCCCUCUGACUCUCAGUACAUGCCUGAGGUCCGGGCAUGUGUGUAAAACUCAAGUAGUGUUGUUGCUUUUAAAUAUAGAUGUGAAGUAUUUAUGCAAAUGGGUUUAAAUUUCCUGUCACAUAAAAUGUGCAGGAGGUCCACUGGAAACUCACUGGAGGUUUGUCUUAGCUUAUUGAUAGGGAUGAAUCAUUUUCAUUGUCAUCACUUGGACUUUUAAAAAUACCGAUGAGCAAGUGUUAUAAGAGUGCUUGUCUUCCCAAUUUGAAAUGAGAAAUCACGCUUAUAUAUAUCUUUUCAAGUAUUGGAGGGGUUUGUAGUUUUCUCUCAAGGUUUUUUGGUCUGGGAGCUAGUAUGUUACAGGUGGGCUGCCAUUCCACUCUCUGGAAGUUGACUUUGAAAAUUCCCCACAUAAGCUAGGGUGCUGAGUUAGAGUUACAGUCUUGGGAGCUUUGCCAGCCAACAGCGUGGCUCAGUGGGUUACGGAGCUUUGUAUACAAGUCUCAUGACUACAGUUCUAACCCUGGACCCCACAUAAAGGUGGGAGGAGAGACCACUGUGGCAUGCACUGACAUGCUCGCGAGUGCGUGCGUGUGUGUGUGCGUGUGUGUGUGUGUGCACCUACAGCACAAUAAUAAAUAGUGAAAACUAAAAUGAACCUUUUUAAUAAUCCAAUUAUUUUGAACAUUUUUACCACAGUUGACUCAAAGACUAGACAAUAGGAAAAUGCAAAGAUUAACCUAAGUUUACUACUGAGCUAUCAUUUUCUUCCAGAUAUAAGGAGAAAUAACAAGAUAGGUAAAGAAAUACCACUUUCUUAGCUCGGGAGAUAUUUUUAGAAAAUGAAUAAAAUCCCAGCUGCCUUGUUUCCUGCUAGCGGCAUUUUUAUAUGGAUUUUAAAAUCUCUACCAUGUUAUUUGCCAUACCUCUUCUCUCACAUUCUCACAAACAAAAAUUUGAGGUUGCAUUGCAUGUGUUAUUAAAAUAGACUCAUUCUAAUAAUUGCUAUUUAGGUGACUUCAUGUUAAUUUUAAAUUCAUUGGGCUAUAGAUGAAAGUCCUGUUAGAUUUAACAUGACACUUAAUCUUCUACUCAGAAUAAUUGAAGCCAGAUGGGGUGAAUCUGAUGGUUAUCUUAUUUGAUCAUAUUUAUAUAGAGAUAGGUAAAGCCCACAUUCUCAUAUAAUUUGGGAAAAUAAUGAUUUUAGAACUCGCCGUGAAGUAGUACAUCUAUUUCCAAAUUACCUAAAUAAAGGUGUAUGGCCCCGACUCCUGCGAUAUACUAUAGACUGUAAAAAGACAUCAUGGACAAUUUUAGAAUAAUCACUUUAUAAUUUGUGAUCAAGGGAGAUAGAUAUCCUUGGUCAUUUUUGGUGUUUGCCUGAUUUCUGAAAUCCUGCUUCUCUCUUUCUAGUGUGGUGAUAUGUUCUCUAUAACAUUCCUUGAAUAAAACUACCCAGGUCUGUCUUUUUGUGAAAUAUAUAAUAUGCCCAAAGUAUUUCUUCUCCUUUGACUCAAUUUUUUUGUUAGUCAUGGAGUUCCGUUUGGCAGGAAGUUGUUUGGGGUCAAGAGGUGGACAAGGUGACUUACACAAUUUUCUUCUCAAUUGUGCGGUCCCAGUAAGCCUGUGUACUGUGCCAUGGCUUUAUUAAAGUGUUUCUCCACAUAGAAAGUGUGCCCAGAUAGUCAGUAUUGACCCCAUUCCUUCUUCUCCUUGCGCAGGUAGCCACUGUAUUUAUCUUUUGGCAGACCUCCGUCCCCCUUCCCCUGCAAAAAAUCAGCCUCUUUAGUAAUGGGUCAAAAUCAGUGAGAAGAAGUUGAGAGAAAAUUUUAUAAUCAGAAACUUACGGCCCUAUUCAGAAAUUUAAACAGUUUUGCAUCUGGAUAUUUUUUCUUCUAUAUUUUAAUGUUGAGUACUGGUUAUUUCUGGGGCCAGGAAGUGGUGGCGCACGCCUUUAAUUCCAGCAGAGGCAGAGGCAGGCGGAUUUCUGAGUUUGAGGCCAGCCUGGUCUACAGAGUGAGUUCCAGGACUGCCAGGGAUACACAGAGAAACCCUGUCUUGGGGGGGAAAAAAAAGACGACGGCUUUUCUGUUAAAAAUUGUAAAUGUUUGCAAUCCUAGACUAAGGGGACACAGACAAUGGAUUAUUACGCUUUGUCACAGUCUGCUAGCGUGUGUUGUAAUGUGACUGUGGCUUGUUGACAAGGGACCACUGGAUGGUAGGAUUUCAGUGGUGGGCAGGAUUAGCACUGCCAGCCUCCCUUACCCAGCUGACUCCUUCACCUGUGAUAAACAUUCUGUCACUUCAAAUGGCAGUCCUUUACAUUUUAGCUAAUGAAUGGAAUUUAUUUAAAUAGGAUUAUUGAUUAGAUUAUCUUGGUUUUUUUAUCCUGUUGUGUUUGGUGUAGAUAAACAAGGGGCUGAGGUAAUACUGAAGGAUGUAAAGAUGGCAGAAGCAUUUUUAGAAUCUUUCCAUAAAAGUAAUUUGAGAAAUAAUGAAUUUUUUUGAGAGAAAAAUCAACUUUGAGAGAGAUUCUACUUUUCUUGAAUACUAUUUAACUAUUUGUGGCAUGGCUCAGUGGUUAAGAGCCCUGACUGCUCUUCCAGAGGCCCCGAGUUCAAUUCCCAGCAACCAUAUGGUGACUCACAACCAUCUAUAAUGGGAUCCGAUGCCCUCUUCUGGUGUGUCUGAGGACAGCUACAGGGUACUCAUAUAAAUAAAAUAAAUAAAUAUUAAGAAAAAGAAAAAGAGGAUGGAUUCACGUGCUGGGUGGAGAAUGAGAGGCCCCAGUGCUAAGUGAGGCACUGACUAAUAACCUUUCUCCCCUCAUCCCCUACGCGUAGAUAAGCUCUUGUUCAUAAGGUAAAGUUAGUGUUGUAGUUUAUUUAAAAACAGCAAGAAGACUGUUACUUUAUUCUUUCUGCUUCUAAAUUAGCACCCUGUCUGAGUUCUCCUUCAAUCAGGGAUUUCCUAAUGUUUCCAUACUUUUCCUUGGGGAGUCCAUACUUAUGUGUGUAGCAAGCAGGGUGGGCCAGGGUUCUAGCUCCAGAAUUUGCUGUGUAGACUAGGCUGUCCUCCAGUUAAUUAUCCUCCUGCCUGAACCUCCCAAGCUCACACACACACACACACACACACACACACACACACACACACACACAGAGAGAGAGAGAGAGAGAGAGAGAAAGAGAGAGAACAAGAGCUAACUUUUCUUCAUGGCAAGAAAGAUGAUUGCUAGAAGGCUGAGGCUGUGGUGACCCUCCAGCAGUGUCAGCAGUUGAGGAUGAUCCCAGGUCCUGAGUCUGUAUCCAUCAUAAACCAUGAAGGAUGAUACUGUCUCUUUGAGCAGGGUGUACUGUAGCCCACGUGGGCUUGGAGCCAGAUCUUUGUCCUUUUCUUCAUCAACUCUGAUAAUCAUGAAGCAAUGCCUAUGUUUGCUAGACAUUGUUGUCUUUGCCCUUCCUUCAUUUUAAGUUUAGCUUCUAGCUAAGGAUUAUUUCUUUGGUGUAUUUCUGGUAUUCAAGCUGCUGCAUUCUAUUUUCUCCAAAGCCAGUUCUUACUGUUUUUAUAGCUCCUUAAAAUGUCCUUGUGAGGCUGUGUAGUGCGCUUCCCUUUGGAGUACCGCUGGCAAGCAGCAGGAAUCUCAGAAGAGCCGGUGUCUGAAGUGCUUUUGAAGGCAAAUGGAAUUUGAGUAUGGAUUUUGAGAAUGGGUAGGGAUUUGAUAGGAGAAAUUGAGGUAGAGAGAAUGGCAUGACAAAGGUAUGAAAAUGGGGUGCACAGUGUGUUCGGGGUCCAAGAUGUGCUGGGAUGUAGUAGGAGUGCAGACUGCUGCCGUGCUAAUGUAGUGAGUGCCGUUGGAGAGAGAGAGGAAGGCAGGAUUGUGAAAUCUAGUCCAGGUUAGGUAGUAAGACAGCUAUGCUCACUGCAGGUCCUGCCUCAUUAGGCCUUUUACGGAAAAGUCUCAUUUGAUUUUUACAAGCAACAGUUUUGUGUGGUGGAUAGUCUCAGAAGACUCGAUUUGGGGACUUAAAGGAACUCAUAUCUCUUUAAAAGUUGGCUGUCAUCCUAGCUAGCUCUGUCUAAUCAGUAUCGGCAUCCUGACCUCGGGACUUUACAGACAAACUUUAAACAAUCUUAGACUUGUCCUUGUAAUAAUAUUGGAUUGUUUUAUUAGCAGAGAACAUGAUUAUUAGUAUGUCAGGUUUCAGAAGAACCUCAGCCGUAAAUCCAUCAUUAUGGUAGCAUGAACCAAAAGCCUGAAAAAGAAGAUUCCAUUUACUCUGCUGUCUGAGGCUCUGUAUAUGCUGAGCAAGUGCUGUAUACCCCCAGCCUGUGAAGAUCUUGAAAGCAAAGUUAAGGGAUGGUGGUUUUACUCAGUGGUAGGUUCAUUGUAAGUAAUAAACCCAGGAUCAGUGUCUAGAACCAGUUUUUGUUUGUUGUUUUAAAGUCUGUGUAUCAGAUGUUCAGUGCUUUGUGUGGAACUACACCGUUUACACAUUAGUAAGAAUGUGCUUUUACAAGAGCUUUGACUGACUCUUAGUAAUUGUCUAGUGAAGUCUUGUACAAAUAAGCUAAGGCCAGGUGCGAUCAAAUGCAGCCUAGAAUUGGAUGAACAAGACACUAACUGCAGUUUCUCAGUUAAACUGCUAGGACCAGCCUGGAAUGCUCUGUCACCAAGCUGUUAAUUCCAGUGUUUUUAAAAUUCAUAGCACACAAGUCGCUUACUGGUUAUGAAGCUGGGUUGCCUAAAGCUCUGGUCAUCGUUGGCUGAGAGAGACCAAAUCUCUGGGGAGUUUUCUUUUGCAGAAUGCACAUGCCAACCCUUCCCUGAAAACCACUUAGUCAGAGAGGCCAUCAAAGCAAGAGUGUUUAGUUAGUAAGCACAGCCCUGCACUUCCAACAAUGUGCAAACUGUCUCUGCACCUUAGAGACAGGUGUGUGGAGAGUGUGCUACCUGCCUGCCUGGUGAUAGAGCAUCAGAGGUGCUCCCCACUGCUCACUGCAGAGCUUACAGUGUGCAUCCUUAAAAUUGGUCACCGAAAGGUAAGCUUAUGAAACCAUAGCUUUGUUUAAAAAAAAGAUUUUAUUUAUUUUAUAUAUGUGAGUACACUGUAGCUGUCUUCAGACACACCAGAAGAGGGCAUCAGACUCCAUUAGAGAUGGUUGUGAGCCAUCAUGUGGUUGCUGGGAAUUGAACUCAGGCCCCCUGGAAGAGCAGCAGUAACCUCUGAGCCAUCUCUCCAGCCCGAAGCCAUAGGUUUUAUAGUCUUGGGUUUUUUUUAGAGAUAAUUCCCCCUUUCACCAACUGUAGAGGGUCUGAGGUAGUUUUGUGUUAGCUUACUAGCAUUUUCAUGAGUUGUGGUAAUGAGACACAGGGUCAACACUGUUGUGCCAGUUUCCAGCCAUGAGGUGACAGCAACACUACCCCUGUAACACAUGACAGUGCUGUACCCCUAUAACACAUUGUACCACUACAAUACAUAUUACUCAGGAAUAACUUGAGUGUGGGGAGCUUGCAUUCUGGCUCUGCAGCGGCACUGUAAUUUCCAGUGUUGUUGCUGUCUGACUACCUGACAAGGCAGACUUGAACACAGAGCAUCAGUACCUGGCUUUCAGGGCAUGGAGAAAGGUGGGACCAGUAUAUGUUUGUUUUCCAGGAAGCAUCUUAUUAUGACAAAUAAACCAAGUCAUCUUUUUUUCCUUUUAGUCUAUAUGAAAUAAUACGAAGAAAAUCUUUUUAAAAACUUUUUUAAAGGCAGGGCCUCUUUCUUCCUCAGGCUGACUUGGAACUCAUUCUUUAGCUCCCGCGGGCCUCCAGCGCACAUCGUCUUCCUGCCUUAUCCCCACAAGUGCCAUAUUUUAGAAAGUUUUUAAACAAGAUGUCAAGAGCUGGGCCUAGUGGAGCAGGCCAAUAAUCUGAGCUGGGGGGUGAGGGUGGGGGACUCGGGCAGGUGGAUGGCAAGUUCCAGACCAGCCUGCACAGCCUGUAUGAGACAUUGCCUUACUUAAAUUAGCCAGAAGAAGGCUGGGGAUGCAGCUCAGGGGCAGAGCCCUUGCUCUGUGGUUCAGUCCCUAGUAACCCUUGACCCCAAGUCACUUCUGUGCUCUUUUUAUUUUUAUUUUUAGAUUUAUUUUCUGUGUAUGAGUAUUUUGUACCAUGUGUGUGCCUGGUGCCUACAGAGAGAGGUCAAAAGAGGGCACUAGACACCCCCAGACGUAGAGUUACUGCUGGUUGUGAGCUGCCAUGUGAUUGCUAGGACUUGAACCAGGGUCUUUGGGGAGAGUAUCCAGAGUUCUUAACCAUUUACCUGUCUUUCUGGCUCCACUGGUGUACUUUUUUGUUCGUUCCAGAAAUUUUCUGUUUGUACAUUACACGUCCAGAUAACAUGGAAGUUAAUUUUUUCUCUUUCCCCUGGAAAUUGCUGUGUAGAUUAGGCUAGUCUCAAACUUGUGGAGGUUCUCUGCCUUCAUAGCAUUCAAAUUACAGAUCUGUGCCCCAUGCCUGACUAAUUCGUUUAGUUUUGGUGGAGUAUUCUGCUGACUGAAUUUCUAUCCAGGACCUGGGAUUUAGCCAGAACACUUACCCUUGUGUUAUUUUAAUUCCAGCAAGUAUCAGCUGUCAAGUUCCAGAUACUAUGUGCUGUCUCCAUAGCUGGGUGGGAAAGGCUGCAUGCUCCUGUACUCUGACUCAAUACACACUAGAUGUACUUUAAUUUUUUUUUUUUUAGUGUUGGAAGAUAAUUUCAUCAGCGAUAUAACAGGUUGGACGUCUAACAUAAAAUAUGAGACAGAGUUGACCAUGAAACUUUUUGUAGAAGUAUUUUAGUUAUUAUAAAGCAAACAAAAAGGAAAUAUCAGUUAAAUGAAACUGUCUAUUUGCAGACCUGGGUCUGGUGAACAGUGUUAUGUUAACAAAAGAAUAUAAACAGUUGUUACAGUGUGAACAUUGUAGUGAUUAUGUAAGCUCACAUGUUUAAAUGGUGCUUAUUGAUACUAAUGCAGUGUCAAGACACUGGAAAGUCAUUUCCAGAUAGUUCAAACAAAAAGAAUUAUGAGUGUAAGGAGAGGCACAAAAGUGGCAGAGCAUUAGCAAUUGGGGGCACUAUUGUUCCUAUUGAGACUGGAUGAUCCAGAUGUUCUACAUGAACGAGCUAUUUCAUUGUGCCUCUUUGCCCCUAACUUUUAUUUUAGGUGUGAAAAGUUUCAAAACAAAAGUUGGAGGGGAAGAAGUAGCCUCUUGUCUUCCCAGCAGAAGUUCCUGGAGGUGCAUCCCUCUAUCUCUGCUGUAGGAAAUGAUCUGUGUAGUUUCAAAGGAGCAGGUUGUGUUGAGUUGAGCAUCUGAUGACGCUGUGAAUUGGGUCUGCUGGGCAGUGGGAAGACAGGCAUAGACUGGGAAACCUGAGUGAAGCCAUCUCAUUAGUCCAUGUUUCCGGAUUAUCUGUCAGACUUCAGUAGUGGACUGCUCACACUUGUUCUUUU